Molecule: long non-coding RNA, 2107 nt
Filed under: Ovis aries (sheep)
Lineage: Eukaryota; Metazoa; Chordata; Mammalia; Artiodactyla; Bovidae
Description: lncRNA (ENSOARG00000025891.1)
Source: RNAcentral
AUGUCCGUUGAGUCGGUGAUGCCAUCCAACCAUCUCAUCCUCUGUUGGCUCCUCCUCCUCCAGCCUUCAAUCUUUCCCAGCAUCAGGCUCUUUUCCAAUGAGUCAGUUCUUCGCAUCAGGUGGCCAAAGUAUUGCAGUUUCAGCUUCAGCAUCAGUCCUUCCAAUGAAUAUUCAGGACUGAUUUCCUUUAGGAUGGACUGGUUGGAUCUCCUUGCAGUCCAAGGGACUCUCAAGAGUCUUCUCCAACACCACAAUUCGAAAGCANNNNNNNNNNNNNNNNNNNNNNNNNNNNNNNNNNNNNNNNNNNNNNNNNNNNNNNNNNNNNNNNNNNNNNNNNNNNNNNNNNNNNNNNNNNNNNNNNNNNCCUUUGUUAGCAAAGUAAUGUCUCUGCUUUUUAAUAUGCCGUCUAGGUUGGUCAUAACUUUUCUUCCAAGGAGUAAGCGUCUUUUAAUUUCAUGGCUGCAGUCACCAUCUGCAGUGAUUUUGGAGCCCCCCAAAAUAAAGUCUGACACUGUUUCCACUGUUUCCCCAUCUAUUUCCCAUGAAGUGAUGGGACCGGAUGCCAUGAUCUUCGUUUUCUGAAUGUUGAGCUUUAGGCCAACUUUUUCACUCUCCUCUUUCACUUUCAUCAAGAGGCUUUUUAGUUCCUCUUCACUUUCUGCCAUAAGGGUGGUGUCAUCUGCAUAUCUGAGGUUAUUGAUAUUUCUCCCAGCAAUCUUGAUUCCAGCUUGUGUUUCUUCCAGUCCAGUGUUUCUCAUGAUGUACUCUGCAUAUAAGUUAAAUAAGCAGGGUGACAAUAUACAGCCUUGAUGUACUCCUUUUCCUAUUUGGAACCAGUCUGUUGUUCCAUGUCCAGUUCUAACUGUUGCUUCCUGACCUGCAUACAGAUUUCUCAAGAGGCAGGUCAGGUGGUCUGGUAUUCCCAUCUCUUUCAGAAUUUUCCACAGUUUAUUGUGAUCCACACAGUCAAAGGCUUUGGCAUAGUCAAUAAAGCAGAAAUAGAUGUUUUUCUGGAACUCUCUUGCUUUUUCCAUGAUCCAGUGGAUGUUGGCAAUUUGAUCUCUGGUUCCUCUGCCUUUUCUAAAACCAGCUUGAACAUCUGGAAGUUCACGGUUCAUGUAUUGCUGAAGCCUGGCUUGGAGAAUUUUGAGCAUUACUUUACUAGCAUGUGAGAUGAGUGCAAUUGUGCGGUAGUUUGUGCAUUUUUUGCAUUGCCUUUCUUUGGGAUUGGAAUGAAAACUGACCUUUUCCAGUCCUGUGGCCACUGCUGAGUUUUCCAAAUUUGCUGGCAUAUUGAGUGCAGCACUUUCACAGCAUCAUCUUUCAGGAUUUGAAAUAGCUCAACUGGAAUUCCAUCACCUCCACUAGCUUUGUUUGUAGUGAUGCUUUCUAAGGCCCACUUGACUUCACAUUCCAGGAUGUCUGGCUCUAGGUGAGUGAUCACACGAUUGUGAUUAUCUGGGUCAUGAAGCUCUUUUUUGUACAGUUCUUCUGGGUAUUCUUGCCACCUCUUCUUAAUAUCUUCUGCUUCUGUUAGGUCCAUACCAUUUCUGUCCUUUAUCGAGCCCAUCUUUGCAUGAAAUGUUCCCUUGGUAUCUCUAAUUUUCUUGAAGAGAUCUCUAGUCUUUCCCAUUCUGUUGUUUUCCUCUAUUUCUUUGCAUUGAUGGCUGAAACUAUUACGUGACCAAUAGUAUUAGAGAGAGAAGGAGGAUCACUAGAGAUUAUAUACACACUAAGUAGAUAACAUGGGACGAGUAUGAACAAUAUCAUGUCAACAUAGUCAAUAACUGAAAUGGAAAUGGACAUAUUCCUUAAGGACACAAACUAUCAAAACUAGCAUAGGAAGAAACAGAAGCUAACAGGGCAAAUUAUAGCUGAGUGAAAAAGAAAAGAUAAAAGGGAAAUACAUGAAAUAGAAAAAUGAUAGAGAAAAUGAAAGAAACCAAAAUCUGGGUCUUUGAAAUGGUAACAAAAUUCGCAAAUCUUUAGCACGCCUGAAUGAGAAAAAGAGCAGUCUCAAAUUAUUAAAAUUGAGAAUGAAAAAAUAGACAUUACUACUAACUUUACAGAAGUAAGAAGAGCUAUAGGGCAAUACUAUGAACAGCUG